RNAcentral lists this ribosomal RNA (907 nucleotides) under Micarea nowakii. RNAcentral describes it as "SSU rRNA". It matches the Rfam family "Bacterial small subunit ribosomal RNA", at positions 370 to 1299 of the family's 1533-position model. Lineage: Eukaryota; Fungi; Ascomycota; Lecanoromycetes; Lecanorales; Micareaceae. The record is from RNAcentral.
AAUAGCCUAACGGCUGAACCAGCAACUUGGAAGAAUGUAUAGCGAUUGCUAAUUGUUUCAUUCCAGAAAGAUAGAUGAAGCAAUCUCGAUUUGAUCGAAUAAAAUUCUGGGUAAAAUUAUGAUAAUGACAUUAUUUACUUAUGAGUCUUGACCAAAUUACGUGCCAGCAGUCGCGGUAAUACGUAGAAGACUAGUGUUAUUCAUCUUUAAUAGGUUUAAAGGGUACCUAGACGGCAGAUUAAGCCUUAGUUGGGACUGGUUUGCUAGAGUUACUUAUGAGGAAGUUUUAAUGUACUAGAGGUGAAGAGAUAAAAUUCUGUUAUACUUUUUUUCUAACGAAAAAUUUCGGCACAGGUAUAGGUGAAAACAUCUUCUUAUGGGAUAACUGACGUUGAGGGACGAAGGCUUUUUAUCGCGAACAGGAUUAGAUACCCUGGUAGUCAAAGCAGAAAAUGAUGAGUGUCAUAGAUUAGAUAAACGUUUAUUCUAUAAAUGAAAGUGUAAGCACUCCACCUCAAGAGUAAUUUGGCAACAUUGGAACUGAAAUCAUUAGACCGUAUCUGAAACCAGUAGUGAAGUAUGUUAUUUAAUUUGAUAAUCCGCAAAAAACCUUACCACAACUUGAAUGUUUAUUUAGUUACUUUUGUAACUAAAUAAACACAAGUGUUGCACGGCUGUCUUCAGUUAAUGUCGUCAGACUUUGGUUAGCUCCAGUAAAUUAACGUAAACCCUUGCUCUAGUUUUAAGUAGAGUAGUUCUCCGCUAUAUUGGAUAAGAUAACAGGGAUCAAGACAAGUCAUCAUGGCCUUAAUGUUGUGGGCUAUAGACGUGCCACGUGAGCCUUUACAAAAGGAUGUGAAAUUGUGAAAUUGAGCUAAUCCCAUAAAACUGGCUAUACAUUUAGCAU